Molecule: long non-coding RNA, 3728 nt
Filed under: Sus scrofa (pig)
Lineage: Eukaryota; Metazoa; Chordata; Mammalia; Artiodactyla; Suidae
Description: lncRNA (ENSSSCG00025066598.1)
Source: RNAcentral
CCUGAGCGUGCUGUUCAGGUUUCCCUGUGAAGCAUUUUUUUGCUUUCUGCCGGUCAGAAAAAGAAAGACAGUCAGGCAAAACAUCGGGAUUAUGUUCUGCUGUUGGACACAGGGAUCUCGUGAAGGCUAAGGAACAAAUUCAGGUGGUACACCCAGCAGAUAACCCCAGGACUAAGAAAUCAGUCUAGGCAGGCAGUGGGGGGCCGGCGGGGGGGAGGUCAGUCAGGUAAAGCCAUGUGAACACGAUGCUCCUGGAAUAAUGUAUGGUACCUGGUAGUAAAGGAGAGGAGGAGCAUCCCUGGUGAGACUAAAGGGCUGAGGAAAAGGGACGAGAGAGAGGCAGGCACCUGCUCUGUGAAGUGGCCUGAGUGGGUGGGGCAGGGGGUAUGUCUAGGAGGUUGGUUGUAGCAUUUUCAUAAGAUGAAGGCAGGUAUUUGUGCGUCAGUCACUGGGAGAUUUAACUUAGUAAAAUUCAGGGGAAAGUGCUGAGAUUUGACAUCGUCCCCCCCCCCCACCCCAGGACCAUUUCCAAGAACAAAGGUAGGUAGAGUGCUAGUCGACAGAAGCUAGAAGAUGCUCCAGAAGGAGACGCUUAAUGUAGAAGCUGACGAUGAGGGAGGUUUGUCAUCAAGACCAACACGAGAGCAGCUGUCCAGGCAGAUGUGAUUAUUCCGGUUCUAAAGAGAGGUGGUUCCCUGGAGUGGAAAUGAGGAAAAGCUGAAACAGCAUGACAAGUGGGAUAUCUCUUUAGAUGUCUGUGCAUUGCUGCUAAGGCCAACUGUGGAGGACCAAAGCUCAGAGUAUCCCACAGCCCCUCGUUAGAGAGUCUGUAUCAGGAGAACGAACAGACUGGGAGGGUCAGUUACAGGAAAAAAUGAUGUAACUUCAUGGGUAAACCCCCAGGGUUGAGAGUCCCAAGGAAACCAGCGACCUCUGUCAUGCACGUCAUUCCCAUUACUCUGAUUGGCUAGUCACCACCCACCUCUAAGUGUUGAUGCCGCUUCCCAUGCUGCUUCCUUACAGGGGGAGACUGCUCUUCCAGUCCCCUUGGAAUCGUGUUUAUUUUAUGAGAUGAACGUGCGGAUACCUGGCUUCAAGCAUGGAUCUCUUGUGCGUCUCUUUAGUACGUGACCGUCUCUGAGACAUCUGACAUACCUGCAGCAUUGACUGCUUGUGUUCCUGGACCUUUGCCCUGAGGGUGCUUAGUGCCUGGACCCCACCCCAUGCUGACUCCCCUCGCUGGGGCUCCGUGUGCCAUCUGAGCAGCCUCCCUGUGGGACACCUCUGUUAAGUGGUCCCAGACCACAGUGAAUGAACACAGCGAAGCACCUGGCAAAAAGGUGUGGCGAUUAAGGGAAGAAUAGGAGGGUCUUGAAUGUCUGACACAAAAGAAUGAGGCUCUUUUGGGGGCCAGGGAGGGUGGCUCUGGGCUCUGGGCUUCUGGCCAGGAUUUCUAGGAGCCUGCAGUCACUGAUCCUGGCACCACCACCCUUCGUCAGCCCCUUCCUUUCCCACUGCUUCCUCUUCUGUCUCCAGCUUGGAGACAUGCUUGCUCUGUCCUGCAGUGGGCAGCACGUCCGGAAAGGGGAGGGGCUUGGCUAUGUCAAACCAAGAGAUGUUUGCCCUUUGAACUGGGUGAGAUGCAGCAGGAUUUAGUAUGUGUUUGUGUCCGUGUGAAUCUGUCCGUUGUUGGAGGCAACCAUGCCCUCACCUGCUUUCCCAGCUCUUCUUACCUGGCUGCUCUCUGCUGGGAGAUGCUGUCAUGGAACCCCCAUCUCCACUGGCUCCUUGCGUGACCUUGGAUGAUGGGAAGGUCACAGCUAGCACCGAGGCUUGAGGAAGCUUUUCUCACUGGAGGAGAACACUGAGAUUCAGACACUGUGCCUUUCUGGGUCUGUCUUGAAUGAUUUGGAGGAAAUGUGUAGACCUCCCUUCUCUGGAGACUGGGGCUUUCAUGGGGAUCAGGGUAGCAAUAGUUGCCACGUCUGGGUGUCCCUAGGGUGGAUUCCCCACAGCUUCUCAUUAGUGGCAGACAUAGGAAGUGUUUGUCACUCCUCUUCUAUCUGGAAUCUGAAAGUAGGAGCAAAAACCAAUUCUUGUGCAGAUACCUUUUGCACAAUAUUGGACAUUCAACUCCAUUUUUCUUUGAUUUCCAAAAUAGGAAACAGACUAAGCCAGGAGGGUAGAGGGAGGUUACUUGUGAUCAUGAAAUAUAUAACACACAUAAAUAUUUUACCCAUAGAGAAACUGUGUAAAAAAACCCAAACAAAAAUUUUAAAAUCCUUAGAGCAAGUUCCUGUUGUGGGGCAGCGGAAACAAAUCUGACUCGUAGCCAUGAGGUUGUGGGUUUGAUCCCUGGCCUCGCUCAGCAGGUGCGAGCUGCGAUGUAGGUUGCAGACUCGGCUGGGAUCCCACGUUGCUGUGGGUGUAGCAUAGGCGAGCAUCUGUAGCUCUAAUAGAACUCCAGCCUGGGAACUUCCGUAUGCCGCUGGUGUGGCCCUAAAAAGCAAAAAAUGAAAUAAAAAUAAAAACCCUUAGAAAUACGCAAAGAAUUUCACUAAAUAACGCUUUUGCUGGAAUAUUGUUUAUGCUUUACUCAGAUGUAAUCAACCAAGUAGGCAAAAAUAGUGAUUACCAGAGAUUGAAUUACCAGAUGAAAGUCUGAUCUAAAACAUGUAUAUAUAUCAGAUCCACCGCUUAAGAGUAAAUGACAAUAAAAACAAAAAUAAACAAAUGGGACUUAAUUAAACUUCAGAGUUUCUGCACAGCAAAGCAAAAACCCUAAACAAAAUGAAAAGACAACCCACAGAAUGGGAGAAAAUCUUUGCAAAUGAAUCGACUGACAAGGGACUAAUCUCCAAAACUUAUAAACGCCUCCUACAGCUGAAUACCAAAAAAACAAACAACCCCAUCAAAAAAUGGGCAGAAGCUCUAAACAGACAGUUCUCCAAAGAAGACAUACAGAUGGCCAUAAAACGUAUGAAAAGAUGUUCAACAUUACUCAUUAUUAGAGAAAUGCAAAUCAAAGUCACUGAGGUACCACCUUACACCAGCUAGAAUGGCCAUCAUCAGAAAGUCUACAAUCAAUAAAUGCUGGAGAGGGUGUGGAGAAAAAGGAACCCUAUUACACUGUUGGUAGGAAUGAAUAUUGGUGCAACCGCUUUGGAAAACAGUAUGGAGAUUCCUCAGAAAACUAAAAAUAGAACUACCAUUUGAUCCAGCAAUCCCACCCCUGGGCAUCUAUCCCGAGAAAACCAUGACUUGCAAAGACACAUGUACUCCCGUGUGCAUUGCAGCACUAUCUGCAAUAGCCAAGACAUGGAAACAACCUAGAUGUCCAUUGACAGAGGAGUGGAUCAAGAAGAUGUGGUACAUAUACACAAUGGAAUAUUACUCAGCCGUUCAAAGGAAAGAAAUAACAGCAUUUUUAGCAACAUGGAUGGACCUGGAAAUUAUCAUGCUAAGUGAAGUCAGUCAGUCAAUGAGACACCGACAUCAAAUGCUCUCACUUACAGGUGGAAUCUUAAAAAGGACACAAUGAACUUCUUUGCAGAACAGAUAACUGACUCACAGAUUUGGAAAAACUUAUGGUUUCUAAACGAGACAGGUUGGGGGUGGGGGAUGCACUGAGGGUUUGGGAUGGAAAUGCUGUAAAAAUUGGUUGUGAUGAUUGUUGUACACCUAUAAAUGUAAUAAAAUUCAUUAAGUAUUUAGAAAAAAAGAAAAAA